UACCCGCUGAACUUAAGCAUAUCAAUAAGCGGAGGAAAAGAAACUAACAAGGAUUCCCCUAGUAACUGCGAGUGAAGCGGGAAAAGCUCAAAUUUAAAAUCUGGCGGUCUCCGGCCGUCCGAGUUGUAGUCUGGAGAAGCGUUUUCCGCGUUGGACCGUGUACAAGUUUCCUGGAACGGAGCGUCAUAGAGGGUGAGAAUCCCGUCUUUGACACGGACCCCAAUGCUUUGUGAUGCGCUCUCAAAGAGUCGAGUUGUUUGGGAAUGCAGCUCAAAAUGGGUGGUGAAUUCCAUCUAAAGCUAAAUAUUGGCGAGAGACCGAUAGCGAACAAGUACCGUGAGGGAAAGAUGAAAAGCACUUUGGAAAGAGAGUUAAACAGUACGUGAAAUUGUUGAAAGGGAAACGCUUGAAGUCAGUCGCGUCGUCCGGGACUCAGCCUUGCAUUCGCUUGGUGUACUUUCCGGUCGACGGGCCAGCAUCAGUUUUGACCGCGAGACAAAGGUGGAGGGAAUGUGGCUCUUUCGGGAGUGUUAUAGCCCUUCGUCGCAUGUCGCGGUUGGGACUGAGGACCGCAGCACGCCUUUAUGGCCGGGGUUCGCCCACGUACGUGCUUAGGA
The sequence is a ribosomal RNA, 617 nucleotides long. It matches the Rfam family "Eukaryotic large subunit ribosomal RNA", at positions 22 to 618 of the family's 3401-position model.